GACCAAGGAGUCUAACAUGUGCGCAAGUCAUUGGAAUUAUGAAAACCUAAAGGCGUAAUUAACGUAACUUAUAUAUGGGAUUACAAAUAAUUUUAUAAUUAAAUUAUUUUUUCAUCUCAGGGCGUUUCAUAUUGGACAUGUUAGCAUUUUAAAUGUUUGACCUCUGUCCAGAAGCGUACCUUGAGCGUACAUGCUGUGACCCGAAAGAUGGUGAACUAUACCUGAUCAGGUUAAAGUCAGGGGAAACCCUGAUGGAAGAUUGAAGCAGUUCUGACGUGCAAAUCGAUUGUCAGAAUUGGGUAUAGGGGCGAAAGACCAAUCGAACCAUCUAGUAGCUGGUUCCCUCCGAAGUUUCCCUCAGGAUAGCUGGUGCAAUUAAAUGAUUACAUAUGUAAUCUUAUCUGGUAAAGCGAAUGAUUAGAGGCCUUGGGGCCGAAACGACCUCAACCUAUUCUCAAACUUUAAAUGGGUAAGAACCUUGUCUUUCUUGAUCUGAAGACAUUUAGGUUUCGAUAUAUUGUGCCCAGUGGGCCACUUUUGGUAAGCAGAACUGGCGCUGUGGGAUGAACCAAACGUGAUGUUAAGGCGCCAAAAUUAACGACUCAUAUUGAUACCAUGAAAGGCGUUGGUUGCUUAAAACAGCAGGACGGUGGACAUGGAAGUCGUAAUCCGCUAAGGAGUGUGUAACAACUCACCUGCCGAAGCAACUAGCCCUUAAAAUGGAUGGCGCUUAAGUCGUAUGCCUAUACAUCACCGCUAUAGUAAUUAUUAUAUACAUUUAUGGUGUAUAUAUUUUAAAACUAUAGUGAGUAGGAGGGUACAAUGAUAUGCGUCGAAGUACUUGGCGUAAGCCUGUAUGGAGCUAUCAUUGGCACAGAUCUUGGUGGUAGUAGCAAAU
RNAcentral lists this ribosomal RNA (898 nucleotides) under Coboldia sp. SS-2012. RNAcentral describes it as "eukaryotic LSU rRNA". It matches the Rfam family "Eukaryotic large subunit ribosomal RNA", at positions 664 to 1468 of the family's 3401-position model. Lineage: Eukaryota; Metazoa; Arthropoda; Insecta; Diptera; Scatopsidae. The record is from RNAcentral.